GCGCUGCAAGGAUUCUUUGAAGCUCUGGUGUAUCAUGCAAAUACGAGUUUCUACACCUUACUCGACUCAUUACUUUCUUGUGCUAAGCUAGUUCAGUAGUUGGUUAAUGUGAAACCAGUUUCUAAUCUCAUGGGGAUUGAGUGUCAGCCCGGUAAUAAAUUUAUGAAUAUGGAUCUCAGCUGGUGGUGUUAGUUCAUGUGAUACCAAAGCGGGUUUAAAUGAUAUAUUCAACUCCAUAUGUUCCCCCCAGACCCCAGUCUUAUAUAGUAAGCCUUAAUUCGAUGUUGGAUAUCUCAUUUAAGUUCCAUUUUUUGGGUUUCAGCAUCUCUUGCUUCGAGUCUGUCUGAUGAUUUGCUCGCAAAAGCGACAGUUCAAGUUGUGAAAAACCUAAGUAACAAGAAUGCGAAAUCGGAGAUUACACGCACCAAUAUUCAAAUGAUUGGAGCUUUAAGGUACUUCCUUUUAUCCUUCUUAGUUGUGGUACUUGUCUUUAUCCAUGUAUAUGUUUCUGUUAGUUGUGGUUGUCCUGACUAUUCAUUGAAUGGGAUGCAUGUUUUACCUUGUGUAUUAUGAAUUUAUGAUUAGAGUUGCCAUGGGUGUGAUGAUAUUUAUUACGUUUAUUUUUGUUUCAGCCGCUCUGUCGGAUACCGAUUUGGGACUCAUCUUGGUAAUACUGUUCCAGUAUUGAUCAAAUACUGCACCAGCGCUUCGGAGAAUGAUGAGGAGCUCCGCGAGUAUAGCUUACAGGUCUCACACAAGAUUCCCUAUUUUCUACUUUCUCACUAGGCGUGCAUCUUUCUAUUUUCUUAUCCAAUUUCUUGAUCGGCCAAUUACGUAGGCGUGCUCGUAGUCUCUUUUCUGUUACUCUGUCGUCUGAAAUUUGGAUUUUAAUCUUCAUUAAGCUUCGGUGAUAGUUGUAUGAAAAAUGUUUUUGAUAUUUUACUGCAGGCACUUGAAAGUUUCUUGCUACGGUGUCCAAGGGACAUCUCACCAUAUUGUGAUGAAAUUUUGAACCUCACUUUAGAAUACAUAAGUUAUGACCCAAAUUUUACGGACAAUAUGGAGGAAGAUACUGAUGAUGAGACUCUUGAAGAUGAAGAAGAUGAGUAAGUUAUGAUAUAUGCAUUGGAUCCGUAACCUUGCUUCUUGCUGUGCACAUUUGUCUUAGUGAUUCGUGUCUUUCUCCUCACAGUGAGAGUGCGAAUGAGUACACGGAUGAUGAGGAUGCCAGCUGGAAAGUUAGGAGAGCUGCGGCGAAAUGCUUGGCAGGAUUAAUAGUUUCUCGUUCUGAGAUGAUCUCUAAAGUAUAUCAAGAGGUAUAUCUUAUUUUAACACCUAUCAAGAGGAUUAUAUAAUAAAUUACUUCUCUUGAUAUGUUUAAUUAAAAUGAGAAAUCGAUAUAUACUGUAAUCUCUUGAGGAAAUUAAUAAUAACUCUUCUUGUGCAGGCCUGCCCAAAACUGAUUGAUAGAUUUAAGGAAAGAGAGGAAAAUGUGAAGGUAUGUAAAAUAAAUGCUUGAUCCUGCAUUGUUAAACGAUCACUGACCCGCGGUACUGUUGUUACAGAUGGAUGUUUUCAACACAUUCAUUGAUCUGUUACGGCAAACAGGAAAUGUCACAAAAGGUCAAACUGACACCGAUGAAUCAAGGUAAAUUCUGCAUCCUUUCACUCCAUCAGUAACUAUGGAUGGUCUGUCACAUUAAUGAUGAAUUUUGCUAACAAAAUAUAUAACUUUGAUCGAUGCAGUGCGAAAUGGCUACUGAAGCAAGAAGUCUCAAAGAUUGUGAAAUCCAUAAAUAGGCAGCUGCGUGAAAAGUCUGUUAAGACGAAGGUACGAAAGUGUGAAUUUUUCUUUUCGGCUUGGUUCCUUUUCGGUAUUUUAAAAGCUCCUUACCUAUUUGUAGGUUGGUGCAUUCUCUGUUUUGAGAGAACUUGUGGUCGUCCUGCCUGACUGCCUUGCUGAUCAUAUUGGUUCACUAGUUCCUGGAAUUGAAAGAGCGCUUAAUGUAAGUGGGGAUAUUCAGUACACAUAUUUACAUUCUCUCGGUGUCGUUCUUUGUUAAUUUGCUCAUGUUUCCUCCUUUUUCCCCUCCAGGAUAAAUCUUCUACUUCAAACUUGAAAAUCGAAGCUCUUGUCUUCACAAAAUUAGUAUUGGCAUCGCAUGCACCUCCUGUUUUUCAUCCUUACAUUAAGGUUGGAAACUUUUUGUGGUCUUCUGUCCAUCGAAAUAUUGUCAAAAUGUUCAAUGACUACUGUUGAGUCAUAGACGUCAGAACUUAGUUUUCAAAACUAAAUGACGUUAACAGCUGAUGAAGGUUGAUUUGACUGACUCUUUAACUUUAUGUCAAUCUAGGCUCUUUCUAGUCCUGUUUUAGCUGCUGUUGGCGAACGCUAUUACAAGGUGACCGCCGAGGCAUUAAGGGUCUGUGGGGAACUUGUCAGAGUAGUACGCCCAAGUACUCAGGUAAAUCAGUGUCAGCGUUUUUUAAUUAUCAUUCGAUCCAUACUUUUACCCGUUGACAACCCACAGAUUUUUGCUUCCACUGAUAUCUUCUCUUAUGUGGUUUAGGGUAUGGGCUUUGAUUUUAAACCAUUCGUUCAUCCGAUCUACAAUGCGAUAAUGUCUCGCUUGACAAAUCAAGAUCAGGACCAGGUUUGGAAUGAAUCCCCCUUUUUUAUUUUUUUCAUCGUUUUUUGAAUAUCCUGGCUUUGGGGCAUUAGAUCUGAAUUUUAUUUGUGAACUCUUUCAAUUUGUUUUUAUGAUUAAUUACUGAAAUUGGAAAAGAUAAGCAAAUUGCUGUGUGUUUUAUGGUACUAUUUAUGUUUCUUAAUCUCUCUUCGCUGUAACAGGAGGUCAAGGAGUGUGCUAUUACCUGCAUGGGUCUUGUGAUUUCAACAUUUGGCGAUCAACUUGGAGCAGAGUUGCCUUCAUGCCUUCCUGUGCUUGUUGACCGAAUGGGAAACGAAAUCACUCGCCUCACAGCAGUAAAGGUUGUUCUCAUGCUUUGGUUGACGCUUUUAUUUUAAAUUUUUUAGCUCAUUUUCGUGAUUGUGUUGGUGCAUGCAGGCAUUUGCUGUCAUUGCCACAUCUCCGCUGCACAUUGAUCUAUCAUGUGUCUUGGACCAUUUGAUUGCUGAAUUAACUGGGUUCUUAAGGAAGGUAUAUCAGUAUAUGGCUUCUUACUAAUAGGCAUCAAAUAUGCUUUUUCUGUUUACUGACUCAUAAUCUGUGAAAAAAUCUCUGAAUACAAUAAUUUGUACUUAGGCAAUUUGUAUUUAUGUUUCUGUAUAACAGGCUAAUCGGGUUCUACGGCAAGCAACACUGAUUACCAUGAAUACCUUGGUAACAGCCUACGGUGAUAAAAUCGACUCAGAUGCUUAUGAAGUUAUUGUUGUGGAGCUUUCAUCUCUGAUAUGGUAUGUUUGUCCAGAACUUCCGCAAAUGUUUUUUUUCUCUCUAAACCUUUUAUGUUGGUGGUUCAUUAGAUGAAUGACUCUCAUCUGUCUUUUCAGCGUUUCGGACCUCCAUAUGACGGCUCUUGCACUUGAACUCUGCUGCACUCUGAUGACCGGAAAGAGUUGUAGUGAAAAUAUCAGUUUGGCGGUUCGCAACAAAGUUCUUCCACAGGCAUUAACUUUAGUUAAAAGUCCAUUGCUCCAGGGUCAAGCACUUUUGGUAAUUUUAUGUUUUGUUUGAAUUGUUUUAUACUUUACCUGGAUCAAAGAUACAGCUGAGCUGAUCUUGUGGAUGCUUUGUCACAGGCUCUGCAAGGAUUCUUUGAAGCUCUGGUGUAUCAUGCAAAUACGAGUUUCUACACCUUACUCGACUCAUUACUUUCUUGUGCUAAGCCUUCCCCUCAGUCGGGAGGCGUCCCAAAGCAAGCAUUAUAUUCAAUUGCACAGUGUGUUGCAGUUCUUUGUCUCGCGGCAGGUGAUAAGAAUUGCUCGUCUACAGUUAAAAUGCUUA
Molecule: long non-coding RNA, 3968 nt
Filed under: Brassica napus (rape)
Lineage: Eukaryota; Viridiplantae; Streptophyta; Magnoliopsida; Brassicales; Brassicaceae
Description: long non-coding RNA (BNAP_LNC002683)
Source: RNAcentral